GAUGAACGCUGGCGGCGUGCCUAAUACAUGCAAGUCGAGCGAACGGACGAGAAGCUUGCUUCUCUGAUGUUAGCGGCGGACGGGUGAGUAACACGUGGAUAACCUACCUAUAAGACUGGGAUAACUUCGGGAAACCGGAGCUAAUACCGGAUAAUAUUUUGAACCGCAUGGUUCAAAAGUGAAAGAAGGUCUUGCUGUAACUUAUAGAUGGAUCCGAGCUGCAUUAGCUAGUUGGGAAGGUAACGGCUUACCAAGGCAACGAUGCAUAGCCGACCUGAGAGGGUGAUCGGCCACCCUGCAUCUGAGACACGCUCCAGACUCCUACGCGAGGCCGCAGUCGGGAAUCUUCCGCAAUGGGCGAAAGCCUGACGGAGCAACGCCGCGUGAGUGAUGAUGGUCUUCGGAUCGUAAAACUCUGUUAUUAGGGAAGAACAUAUGUGUAAGUAACUGUGCACAUCUUGACGGUACCUAAUCAGAAAGCCCCGGCUAACUACGUG
This 497-nucleotide ribosomal RNA is filed under the name uncultured bacterium. RNAcentral describes it as "partial 16S ribosomal RNA". It matches the Rfam family "Bacterial small subunit ribosomal RNA", at positions 28 to 507 of the family's 1533-position model. The record is from RNAcentral.